UACGGAGGGUGCGAGCGUUGUCCGGAAUUAUUGGGCGUAAAGAGCUCGUAGGCGGUUUGUCGCGUCGAAUGUGAAAACCCCGGGGCUCAACCCCGGGCCUGCAUUCGAUACGGGCAGACUAGAGUUCGGUAGGGGAGUCUGGAAUUCCUGGUGUAGCGGUGAAAUGCGCAGAUAUCAGGAGGAACACCGGUGGCGAAGGCGGGACUCUGGGCCGAUACUGACGCUGAGGAGCGAAAGCGUGGGGAGCAAACAGG
RNAcentral lists this ribosomal RNA (254 nucleotides) under uncultured bacterium. RNAcentral describes it as "partial 16S ribosomal RNA". It matches the Rfam family "Bacterial small subunit ribosomal RNA", at positions 524 to 776 of the family's 1533-position model. The record is from RNAcentral.